UACGGGGGGGGCAAGCGUUGUUCGGAAUUACUGGGCGUAAAGGGUUCGUAGGCGGCCAACUAAGUCGGAUGUGAAAUCCCCAGGCUUAACCUGGGAACUGCAUCCGAUACUGGAUGGCUUGAAUCCGGGAGAGGGAUGCAGAAUUCCAGGUGUAGCGGUGAAAUGCGUAGAUAUCUGGAGGAAUACCGGUGGCGAAGGCGGCAUCCUGGACCGGCAUUGACGCUGAUGAGCGAAAGCUAGGGGAGCAAACGGG
Molecule: ribosomal RNA, 253 nt
Filed under: uncultured bacterium
Lineage: Bacteria
Description: partial 16S ribosomal RNA
Rfam family: Bacterial small subunit ribosomal RNA
Source: RNAcentral